UACAGAGGGUGCGAGCGUUAAUCGGAAUUACUGGGCGUAAAGCGCACGUAGGUGGCGACGUAAGUCGGGUGUGAAAGCCCCGGGCUCAACCUGGGAAUUGCAUUCGAGACUGCAUUGCUGGAGUACGGAAGAGGAGGGCGGAAUUCCCGGUGUAGCGGUGAAAUGCGCAGAUAUCAGGAGGAACACCGGUGGCGAAGGCGGGUCUCUGGGCCGAAACUGACGCUGAGGAGCGAAAGCGUGGGGAGCGAACAGG
Molecule: ribosomal RNA, 253 nt
Filed under: uncultured bacterium
Lineage: Bacteria
Description: partial 16S ribosomal RNA
Rfam family: Bacterial small subunit ribosomal RNA
Source: RNAcentral